This 301-nucleotide ribosomal RNA is filed under the name uncultured bacterium. RNAcentral's name for it is "partial 16S ribosomal RNA". It matches the Rfam family "Bacterial small subunit ribosomal RNA", at positions 509 to 807 of the family's 1533-position model. The record is from RNAcentral.
CAGCAGCCGCGGUAAUACGUAGGUGGCAAGCGUUGUCCGGAAUUAUUGGGCGUAAAGGGCUCGCAGGCGGUUUCUUAAGUCUGACGUGAAAGCCCCCGGCUCAACCGGGGAGGGUCAUUGGAAACUGGGAAACUUGAGUGCAGAAGAGGAGAGUGGAAUUCCACGUGUAGCGGUGAAAUGCGUAGAGAUGUGGAGGAACACCAGUGGCGAAGGCGACUCUCUGGUCUGUAACUGACGCUGAGGAGCGAAAGCGUGGGGAGCGAACAGGAUUAGAUACCCCGGUAGUCCCUGUCUCUUAUAC